GACGAACGUUGGCGGCGUGCUUAAUACAUGCAAGUCAACUGAAGCACCGGUAGUAAUACUGGUGUGGAGGUGGCGCACGGGUGAGUAACACGUAGGUAAUCUGCCUUCAGGUCUGACAUAACCCCGAGAAAUCGGGGCUAAUAGCAGAUGAUGCAGCGGCUUGACAUCAAGACAGUUGUUAAAGCUUCGGCGCCUGAAGAUGAGCCUGCGUCUGAUUAGCUAGUUGGCGGAGUAAUAGCCCACCAAGGCGACGAUCAGUAGCUGGUCUGAGAGGAUGAUCAGCCACACUGGAACUGAGACACGGUCCAGACUCCUACGGGAGGCAGCAGUAAGGAAUAUUGCUCAAUGGAGAAUCCGUGAAGCAGCAACGCCG
This 373-nucleotide ribosomal RNA is filed under the name uncultured bacterium. RNAcentral describes it as "bacterial SSU rRNA". It matches the Rfam family "Bacterial small subunit ribosomal RNA", at positions 28 to 399 of the family's 1533-position model. The record is from RNAcentral.